UUCGUGCUAAGGUAGCAUAAUCAUUUGUCCCUUAAUUAGGGACUAGAAUAAAUGGAUCCACAAAAUUUCAUCCUCUAAUUUCUAUUUAUAAAAAUUAAUUUAUGAAUGCAAAAGUUCAUAUCUUAUAAAAAGACCAAAAGACCCUAGCGAGCUUAAAUAUAGUAGAAUCUAUUCUAUAAUAUUUUCAAUUGGGACGAUUCAAGAUAUACUUCAUCUUUUUCCAAAAAUGAAAUAUACAUUCACCUUUAUUAUAAAAAAUAAAGUUACCGUAGGGAUAACAGGCUACUCAAUUUUAAAAGUUCACAUUAACAAAUUGUCUUAGCACCUCGAUGUUGGCUUA
RNAcentral lists this ribosomal RNA (340 nucleotides) under Pseudophryotrocha sp. Seep. RNAcentral's name for it is "partial 16S ribosomal RNA". It matches the Rfam family "Bacterial large subunit ribosomal RNA", at positions 1945 to 2539 of the family's 2925-position model. Lineage: Eukaryota; Metazoa; Annelida; Polychaeta; Eunicida; Dorvilleidae. The record is from RNAcentral.